Molecule: ribosomal RNA, 440 nt
Filed under: uncultured bacterium
Lineage: Bacteria
Description: partial 16S ribosomal RNA
Rfam family: Bacterial small subunit ribosomal RNA
Source: RNAcentral
CCUACGGGAGGCAGCAGUAGGGAAUAUUGCUCAAUGGGGGAAACCCUGAAGCAGCAACGCCGCGUGGAGGAUGAAGGUUUUCGGAUUGUAAACUCCUUUUGAUAGAGAAGUUAAUGACGGUAUCUAAGGAAUAAGCUCCGGCUAACUCCGUGCCAGCAGCCGCGGUAAUACGGAGGGUGCCAGCGUUACUCGGAAUCACUGGGCGUAAAGCGCGCGUAGGCGGGAUAGCAAGUCAGAUGUGAAAUGCUAUGGCUUAACCAUAGAACUGCAUUUGAAACUGUUAUUCUAGAGUAUGGGAGAGGUAGGUGGAAUUCGUGGUGUAGGGGUGAAAUCCGUAGAGAUCAAGAGGAAUACUCAUUGCGAAGGCGGCCUGCUAGAACGUAACUGACGCUGAUGCGCGAAAGCGUGGGGAGCAAACAGGAUUAGAUACCCUUGUAGUC